Molecule: non-coding RNA, 71 nt
Organism: Trichonephila clavata
Lineage: Eukaryota; Metazoa; Arthropoda; Arachnida; Araneae; Nephilidae
Source: the annotation of a GenBank genome assembly
GUGUGUGUAGCGCAAUGGAUAGCGCGUUGGACUUCUAAAUCCAAAGAUCGUUUCGAAUUCGACCAAGGAUG